GAUCAGACUCGAUAUUUUGUGAGCCUUGCCUUCGUGGCGGGGUGACCCGCAGCUUAUCGGGCCAGCAUCGGUUUGGGCGGUAGGAUAAUGGCGUAGGAAUGUGACUUUGCUUCGGUGAAGUGUUAUAGCCUGCGUUGAUGCUGCCUGCCUAGACCGAGGACUGCGAUUUUAUCAAGGAUGCUGGCAUAAUGAUCCCAAACCGCCCGUCUUGA
This 212-nucleotide ribosomal RNA is filed under the name Meyerozyma guilliermondii. RNAcentral describes it as "partial 28S rRNA". Lineage: Eukaryota; Fungi; Ascomycota; Pichiomycetes; Serinales; Debaryomycetaceae. The record is from RNAcentral.